This 571-nucleotide ribosomal RNA is filed under the name Coniolariella sp. Its description in RNAcentral is "partial large subunit ribosomal RNA". It matches the Rfam family "Eukaryotic large subunit ribosomal RNA", at positions 55 to 650 of the family's 3401-position model. Lineage: Eukaryota; Fungi; Ascomycota; Sordariomycetes; Xylariales; Xylariaceae. The record is from RNAcentral.
GGAAAAGAAACCAACAGGGAUUGCCCCAGUAACGGCGAGUGAAGCGGCAACAGCUCAAAUUUGAAAUCUGGCCCUCGGGUCCGAGUUGUAAUUUGUAGAGGAUGCUUUUGGCGCGGUGCCUUCCGAGUUCCCUGGAACGGGACGCCUUAGAGGGUGAGAGCCCCGUACGGUUGGACACCAAGCCUCUGUAAAGCUCCUUCGACGAGUCGAGUAGUUUGGGAAUGCUGCUCUAAAUGGGAGGUAAAUUUCUUCUAAAGCUAAAUAUUGGCCAGAGACCGAUAGCGCACAAGUAGAGUGAUCGAAAGAUGAAAAGCACUUUGAAAAGAGGGUUAAAUAGCACGUGAAAUUGUUGAAAGGGAAGCGUUUGCGACCAGACCUCUCCCCGGCGGAUCAUCCGGCGUUCUCGCCGGUGCACUCCGCCGGGCUGAGGCCAGCAUCGGUUCCCGCGGGGGGACAAAAGCGGGGGGAACGUAGCUCCCUCGGGAGUGUUAUAGCCCUCCGCAUAAUACCCUCGCGGGGACCGAGGACCGCGCUUCGGCAAGGAUGCUGGCGUAAUGGUCGUCAACGACCC